CCUACGGGAGGCAGCAGUGAGGAAUAUUGGUCAAUGGGCGAGAGCCUGAACCAGCCAAGUCGCGUGAAGGAUGACUGCUCUACGGGUUGUAAACUUCUUUUAUAAUGGAAUAAAGUGAGGCAAGUGUGCCUUUUUGUAUGUACUUUCUGAAUAAGGAUCGGCUAACUCCGUGCCAGCAGCCGCGGUAAUACGGAGGUUGCGAGCGUUAUCCGGAUUUAAUGGGUUUAAAGGGAGCGUAGGUGGGUAGUUAAGUCAGUUGUGAAAGUUUGCGGCUCAACCGGAAAAUUGCAAUUGAUACUGGGUGUCUUGAGUACAGUUGAGGUAGGCGGAAUUCGGGGUGUAGCGGUGAAAUGCGUAGAUAUCACGAAGAACUCCGAUUGCGAAGGCAGCUUACUAAACUGUCACUGACACUGAUGCUCGAAAGUGUGGGGAUCAAACAGGAUUAGAUACCCGAGUAGUC
This 460-nucleotide ribosomal RNA is filed under the name uncultured bacterium. RNAcentral describes it as "partial 16S ribosomal RNA". It matches the Rfam family "Bacterial small subunit ribosomal RNA", at positions 338 to 795 of the family's 1533-position model. The record is from RNAcentral.